RNAcentral lists this ribosomal RNA (253 nucleotides) under uncultured bacterium. Its description in RNAcentral is "partial 16S ribosomal RNA". It matches the Rfam family "Bacterial small subunit ribosomal RNA", at positions 524 to 776 of the family's 1533-position model. The record is from RNAcentral.
UACGUAGGGCGCAAGCGUUGUCCGGAAUUAUUGGGCGUAAAGAGCUCGUAGGCGGCCUGUUGCGUCCGCUGUGAAAUCCCGGGGCUUAACCUCGGGCGUGCAGUGGAUACGGGCGGGCUGGAGGCAGGCAGGGGAGAACGGAAUUCCUGGUGUAGCGGUGAAAUGCGCAGAUAUCAGGAGGAACACCGAUGGCGAAGGCGGUUCUCUGGGCCUGUUCUGACGCUGAGGUGCGAAAGCUAGGGGAGCGAACGGG